This 496-nucleotide ribosomal RNA is filed under the name uncultured bacterium. RNAcentral describes it as "partial 16S ribosomal RNA". It matches the Rfam family "Bacterial small subunit ribosomal RNA", at positions 28 to 507 of the family's 1533-position model. The record is from RNAcentral.
GAUGAACGCUGGCGGCGUGCCUAAUACAUGCAAGUCGAGCGAACAGAUAAGGAGCUUGCUCCUUUGACGUUAGCGGCGGACGGGUGAGUAACACGUGGGUAACCUACCUAUAAGACUGGGAUAACUUCGGGAAACCGGAGCUAAUACCGGAUAAUAUUUCGAACCGCAUGGUUCGAUAGUGAAAGAUGGUUUUGCUAUCACUUAUAGAUGGACCCGCGCCGUAUUAGCUAGUUGGUAGGUAACGGCUUACCAAGGCGACGAUACGUAGCCGACCUGAGAGGGUGAUCGGCCACACUGGAACUGAGACACGGUCCAGACUCCUACGGGAGGCAGCAGUAGGGAAUCUUCCGCAAAGGGCGAAAGCCUGACGGAGCAACGCCGCGUGAGUGAUGAAGGUCUUCGGAUCGUAAAACUCUGUUAUUAGGGAAGAACAUACGUGUAAGUAACUGUGCACGUCUUGACGGUACCUAAUCAGAAAGCCACGGCUAACUACGUG